Molecule: long non-coding RNA, 2192 nt
Filed under: Homo sapiens (human)
Lineage: Eukaryota; Metazoa; Chordata; Mammalia; Primates; Hominidae
Description: HSALNT0303940
Source: RNAcentral
GCAACUGCAUGCCAGCCUGGGCGACGGAGCAAGACUCCAUCUAAAAAUAAAUAAAUUUUUUAAAAAAUGGAAAAAGCAGAGGAGCCAGGGACCCGGCAUCCCUCUGGCACGGGAAUGGGAAGACAGCAGAAGAAUCUGUGGGGGCAGUUUCCGGAACACCGGUCUCAGGUCAUCUGCUGAGGAGUGGGGAAGCCCAGCUGUUUAGGUCUGGGGAACAUCAGGUGCCCCACAGUGGCUGUGGCCUCUGCCAUAGUGUAGUUCUUCCCUCCUCCCUCCAGCUGAGUCCUGAGAUGCCAAGUACCAGUCAGGCUGCCUGCCUUUGCUCACAUGCAUUGGCAUCCCUCUGGAGGCCUUGUGUUCUGAUGUCACACUAAGAAUCAUGCAUGUUCACUCACUCCGUGACUGCAUAAAAGUUCAUCCUGAAAUCAGGCUGGUAAUGAGCUGCUGUUCAUGUGUGGUCUUCAUGGGGGGAACCCAGUCAUGUGCUCCACACUUCAAGACACGAAGGGGAAGAUGGGAGGCAGUAAGCUUGACCUUCCUGCAGGUGCUGAGCCAGCUCAUGGGGGCUGAGGACCAGGGCUGGGCUUUACCUGCCUCUGAAGGGGCUUGGAGCAGAGGCAGGGGAGGUGGAAGAAUAGGAACCUGGGGCAGUGUCCUUCCCAGGCAGGAGGACACAGAAGAGCAGGCCCCUGCCAACAUCAAGUUGAAACAGCUGUAAAAGUGGCCUGGGCACAAAGCUGGCAACUGAAGAUAAGGCUCAGGACACAGCGAGCGGUCACCCUGAGGCUCUCCUGGGAGCAGGGAGUGGCUGUCUCCGGCCAUGGUCCACAAAGGCACCAACCACUCCCCUUUGCAGGUGUGAAGCAGCAGCUGGGGACAGUUCAGCCCGGCUUAGGCAUGACCUCUGUUUUCAUCUGCCUGCGAGGCACCAAGGAGGACCUGCAUCUGCCGUCCACCAACUACUAUGUUUACUAUGACACGGACAUGGACCAGGCGAUGGAGCGCUACAUCUCCAUGCCCAGGGAAGAGGCUGCGGAACACAUCCCUCUUCUCUUCUUCGCUUUCCCAUCAGCCAAGGAUCCGACCUGGGAGGACCGAUUCCCACGGGGGGCUGCACGUCCUGGGUGAGGGGGUGGAGGGAGGGGCCGGGCAGUAGUAAUAUCAGCUCUGAUCCCCAGGCCGGUCCACCAUGAUCAUGCUCAUACCCAGCACCUACGAGUGGUUUGAGGAGUGGCAGGUGGAACUGAAGGGAAAGUAGGGCAGUGACUAUGAGACCUUCAAAAACUUCUUUGUGGAAGCCUCUAUGUCAGUGGUCCUGAAACUGUUCCCACAGCUGGAGGGGAAGGUGGAGAGUGUGACUGCAGGAUCCCCACUCACCAACCAGUUCUGGCUGCUCCCCGAGGUGUCUGCUACAGGGCUGACCAUGACCUGGGCCGCCUGCACCCUCGUGUGAUGGCCUUGAAGGCCCAGAGCCCCAUCACCAACCUCUGACAGGUAUACUCACUGCCCCAUGUUGUCAGGACCUGAGACCCUGGGCCCCUGUCGCCCAACGUCCUCUGUUCCUGCCCUCAGGCCCUGCUGUCCCCUGCAGCCUCCCAUCCCCUGAGCAGGGCUGCCUGGGCAGGCUGUGGCCCCUGUCUGAUUGGAGCCAGCUCUGGGUGGCCCUCAUGUGGAGGGAAGAGCACCAAGGCCCCACCCUCCCCUGGGCCUGCCUGGGUGCACACUCAGGGGCCUCUGCUCUUGCCUCCUAGGCCAGGGUAUCUUCACCUGUGGACUGGUAGGGGCCCUGCAAGGUGCCCUGCUGUGCAGCAGCGCCAUCCUGAAGUGGAACUUGUACUCAGACCUUAAGGAUCUUGUCUCUAGGAUCUGGGCACAGAAGAAUUAGUUCCAUCAGGGAGGAGUCAGAGGAAUUUGCCCAAUAGCUGGGGCAUUAGUUCCUUGCACAUAUAAACCACUCUUAUUUGGUUCUGAUGCCUGAAGAGAGGCCUAGUUUAAAUCACAAUUCCGAAUCUGGGGCAAUGGAAUCACUGUUUCCAGCUGGGGCAGGUGAGAUCUUUCCACCUUCUAUAAUAUGCCAUCCCUACUAAUAGGAUAUUGACUUGGAUAGCUUGAUGUCUCAUGACGAGCGGCGCUCUGCAUCCCUCACCCAUGCCUCCUAACUCAGUGAUCAAAGCGAAUAUUCCAUCUGUGGA